GACAGAGGGUGCAAACGUUGUUCGGAAUUACUGGGCGUAAAGCGCGUGUAGGCUGCUUCGAAAGUCGGAUGUGAAAGCCCUGGGCUCAACCUAGGAAGUGCAUUCGAAGCUGGAGUCCUGGAGAGGAAGGCGGAAUUCUCGGUGUAGAGGUGAAAUGCUUAGAUAUGACAUAGAACACCAAUUGCGAAGGCAGCUUGCUACACGGAUAUUGACUCUGAGGCACGAAAGCGUGGGGAUCAAACAGG
This 245-nucleotide ribosomal RNA is filed under the name uncultured bacterium. Its description in RNAcentral is "partial 16S ribosomal RNA". It matches the Rfam family "Bacterial small subunit ribosomal RNA", at positions 524 to 776 of the family's 1533-position model. The record is from RNAcentral.